This 433-nucleotide long non-coding RNA is filed under the name Chloebia gouldiae (Gouldian finch). RNAcentral's name for it is "Erythrura gouldiae (Gouldian finch) lncRNA (ENSEGOG00005010927.1)". Lineage: Eukaryota; Metazoa; Chordata; Aves; Passeriformes; Passeridae. The record is from RNAcentral.
GGGGCUCCCGGGGUCCCACAGAAUUCCCCAGGCUCCGAGGAGGAGCUGGCCAAGGCCCUGGAGGGGCUGGGGCUGGAGGAGGGCGGCGGGGACGGCGUCCUGCCCGUCAUGCGCAGCAUCAUGGAGUCCCUGCUCUCCAAGGACGUGCUCUACCCCUCCCUCAAGGAGAUCACCGAGAAGGUGGGACCCCAAAAACCGGCAGGAACCCCAAAAACUGGGAGGGGACCCCAAAAAACCGGGAGGAAUCCCAAAAAACCAGGAGGGAGCCCCAAAAAACCUGGGGGUGUCCCCAAAACUCCGGGGGUGUCCCUUGGGGACAAUGAGUAAGGGUCAUGGGGACAUCAUGGAGUUUCUCCUGUCCUUCCCUCAAAGAGAUCUGCAAGAAGGUGGAACCCCAAAAAUUGGGAGGGAACCCCAAAAAACCGGGAGGGAA